Molecule: non-coding RNA, 7575 nt
Organism: Podarcis lilfordi (Lilford's wall lizard)
Lineage: Eukaryota; Metazoa; Chordata; Lepidosauria; Squamata; Lacertidae
Source: the annotation of a GenBank genome assembly
GCCGCUAGGGGCGCCAGUGUCAAGGGAAGAGCCCGCGCUCUCCCACUGUGAAGCUCAGAUUUAUGUGGGGACGGCGAGAAAGGUUGUCCCGCAAGUAUGAUUUAAUUAACGGUGCAGUCCCAGCCCGGUCUACUCGGAAGUAGGUCCUGUCAAAUUCAGCAGGGUUGAUUCCCAGGUAAAUGGGAUUAGGUUGGCAGCCUAAAUUAUGAUGGGGAGGAAGAAAAAAAUAAAUCAGAAUUUACAUAUAAUAAUAUUCGUUUCUUGGGAACUAGGGCUAAGCUUCGGCAUUCGUUCUGAAAGCCAGGACGAUAUGAUGAAGUCAGAGAGAAGGCAUGAAAAAUGGCAGGUUCAUUCUGUUAAAUGAACAAAUGCAGCAGUAACGUUAGAGGGCAGUACUUUUAAUUAGGAACAUCCAGGUAUUUGGGAAAGAGUAAAGCGUAUUAUUUACAUUCAACCUCUGAUAUCUGCAAUUAGGACAGGGGAAGACUCUUAUCUAAAAAUCCCUGGAGAGCUGCUACUCCCAUAACAACCAGUGUAGAGUACUGAGCUAGUACUCUGACUGCUAGUUUCACUCGGUAUGAGGCGAUUUUCUGAUAAACUAAUAUUUUUCUUCUUCGAAUGUGGAGUUUUCUGCAUGUUAUGAAGAAGGGGAGCAGGAAGGAGUUGAGCCUCGUGGAAAUUCCAAGCAACGCAGGUUGUAACGUUAUUAAGUAAACAAUGCCACCAUAUUAAGAGCACGUGGAAAAGGAGUUGUGUAGGUUUAAAGCACAACUCUAUGCAUGUUUCCUCUAGAAGCAAGUCCCGCUUUCACUAUGUAGGAUGAAGCUUACUUCCCAGUAAAUGUGCAUAGGACUGUUGCCCCAGUUUGAUCAUCUUGGAUGAAAAACAGGUUUCACCAGGGGUUGCUGGGACAAAGAAACAUCAUGGUUGCUCCUCUCCCAACACCAUUUAUUUCAUAACUUUGUCCCGGUAGCCCUGGUGAAACCUGGAAUCUGUUUUGUGGCCUGCAGAACUUAAGCUAACGAAGUCUGUGCUCCUAUGCAAACUUGCAGGGAUAUAAGCCCCGUUGAACAUAGUAUGAGAUACUUCUCUGAAUAAACUUGGAUACAAUUGCACUGUAAAUCUGCAAAGUGCCUCGCCUCCAACGUUAUCCAGGAGUUCAGGAAAACUAAGGAGGUUGGUCACACAUUUAUGACCUAGGCUUCUUUGGGAGUGGGGAUGAGAAUGGGGAGGGCCUGAACUGGCCCUACAGCCAGGACUUGACAGUAUUGGGCCCAAUCAGUACACAAGUUGCAGGCUGGUGGAGCCUGAAGCAGGCUUUUGUCUGUCUCCUGUCCUGCCCCAACCAGCAUGAAUGACAGGGUUGUGGAUGGACUACUAGCUACACUGCUCUGUCACACUCAGCUACUGCCUAGCCAUGGUUUCAAGUUGUUUUGCCAGUUGCCAGAUAGGGAACAAAUAAAUGCAGUGUUUUUCACAAACAGAAAGAGAGGGAAUCUAACAGCCAUAACAAUGUGUUUGCCAAUACAGGUCCAACGUCCAUUUCUAGAUUGUGGUGAUUAACUGCAAGAACACAUCAAUAAACACCAGGAUGAACAAGCAGAAUAACAAGGCAGAUAUUAUCCAACUCUCAAAAGAAGGCAAAUGUAGUGAAAAAUAUAAGACAUGCAAGAAAUACAUAGUGCUGUGAGUACAGAAAAGGUAAACAAAUUUGAGUUUGCAAUAAAUGGGGAUACGAGUUCAGCCGCACCAGCUGUGAUUUGCAUGAUCCCUACAUGGAUUGUGGGUGAACAACCACCAGCUAAACACUGCCUGAAAGUACCUUGUAAUCUAAUCUUGCACCUUGAUACUUAGACAUUAAUCCUUGAAGUUCCAAUUAACAUACAGUUUCUUCUUGUGUAUUGUUCUGGGUGCACAAAACUUGACAAAACUAAAGUCACAUCCACACCAUAUGGUUAAAACACAUUUAAAACACAUGGCUUCAUUCCAAAGAAUCCAGGCAUUAGUAGCUCUGUGAGGGGUAAAUGACAGGAAAAUACUUAAAUGUGUAGCACAUUGUGGUCGCUACAUAUGUGGAGCACAGCACAUUCAGUUGCCUGCAAUGUAGCGUGGCAUGACAAUUAAAUUGCAGGCCAAUCAGUCUUCAUGGUUGGUGAUAACUCUGGAAAGUGUGGCAGGAGAAUUAAGAGUUCUACUGUACACUCAUAUUCUGUGGGGUCUGCCACAUUUCUAGUACAGUACUUGUAUACUGGUAAGUAAUUGCUGUUGGGGAAUGGGACUCAAUACCAGGAAGGCACCAAGAUACAUUGUGAUAAUUGGUGGAGUAAUAUCCUAAUUGAGGAAGAUCCUUCUUUGAAUAGUACUGCAACGGCACUCAGCCACUAACUUUCUUUGGAAUACUUACAUGCAUAUUUAUCAGAGCUGCAGUAUCUUGUGGUUUGUUCGCUCUUACAGAAAAUGAUACAUUUUAAUGCAGAUUAAAACUUGGUUUAAUUUUUAGACCUGCAUCGAUAAAGGUUAUAAGAGAAAUUGUUAUGGGUCAAUCGAAGUCUGCUUUUAUUGUCUGCUCAAAUACAUUUAUACUCAGAAGUAAGUCCCAUGGCUUACUGGGGUUUUGAAGUCAUGUCUCCCCAGUUCAAGUCGAACACUCCAGUUAGCAUAGGAUUUACUGUUCAUACAUGUGUAUAGGAUUACCACCCUAGUUAUAAUUUUGUGCUUCACAAAAAGCAAACAUUACUCAGUCCACAGAGGUUCGAAUCAUAUGUUACAGUGUGCAGCACAAUGCGUGCUUACUCAGAGAAGUAUCAUCAAGCCUUAUUAUUUAAAUUAGGUCCUAAAAGUCUGCAGAUGCUUAAGACUAGUAAUAAUCCAUUACUGCAUUCCGAUUUUCAGGAAAAGUCCUCUAUUACAAUAACAGCAGCAGCUCCUUUCUCACGGAGUCUAGAUUGGGAAGGUAGCAAAGACCAUCUACUUAUUUCCCUUUCCUUUUUAUCCUAUCCUUCUUCCAAGGAGCACAGGUAGAAUACAUGGCUCUCCCCUACCUGUUUUAAUCUCACCACAAUCCUUGCAGGUUAGUUAGGCUGAGUGAAAGUAAUUGGCCAUUUUUUUAUGGCUUAGUGUCAAUUUUAAUUCAAAUCUCUUCAGUUCUAGUAUGGGGAUAUGUACACAUCUUGCAUCUAAAGCUCCCCCCAAAGAAUCCUGGGAACUGUAGCUUACCCCUCACAGAGCUACAGUUCCCAGCACCCUUAACAAACUACAAUUCCCAGGUUUUCUGGGGGGUGUACUUUAAAUGCAUUGUGUCUAUGCAGUCUAACACUGCUACAAGCUACACCUAUUGAAAUUUGCUCUUCCACACAACAAUUAAAGCGGUAAAGUCUUGUCCCCUUUUGCAUCUUACUACCUUACAGAUCAAUUGAUGCAAUCCCGAGUGCACGGUGCCACAAAAAGAAUAAGUACUGUACAGCUGGGAAGGGAAACCAGAUGUUCUUGGAAUCCAGUUCUCAUUAAUUCCAGCCAGCAUGGCCAAUGGUUAAGGAAAACAGGGGUUUGCGUCCAAUUUCAUCUAGGGGCUCCAUACCUGCAGGCACACCAUGCUUGAUAAUGCUGAAGAAAGCACUUGCCAGUCUGAGUCUAUUGAAAAUUCCUUCCUGGCCCCAAAUAAGGUAGUCAGUGUGGCACCUGUUAAGUAAGCAGAAUUUUAUUUGGUGCCCAACAUCCAAUGUCACCCAGCAUCUAAUUUCUGCAUGUAGCAGUUUUGAAGCAAGUGGAUUUAAUGAAUAGCUUAUAUUAAGGUUACCAGACGUCCCCGUUUCCCGGGGACAGUCCCUGGAUUUACAAACCAGUCCCCAUACAAAAUCCAUUAAAGUUGAAAAGUGUCCCCGGAUUCAUUGAAAAAAAUCUGGUAACCUUAGCUUAUAUACAAGGGAAGGAGUCGUUUCCUGAACCCAAUGGGCUACCACAGCAGAGAUAUAAAAAGUAAACCACACCAUCAUUAUCUUUACAAAUAAUCCUGAACAUCCGUGAUUAUGACUAUCCUACAGGGGUCAAGCGGAGGUUAGAUCAUUAUCACUCACUUCAGAAGCAUUGGCCACAUAGGGUUGCUAUAAGUCCUCUUUUUCCAGGACAUGCCCUCUUUUUCAGGGGAAAGAUUUCUGUCCUGGCAGAUUUUUUGAUUUUGCUAAAAUGUCCGAGUUUUUUUCCUUUGGUACCAAACCACUCUCUUCUUCUUCUCUCUCUCUCCUUUUCAUUUUCUCCUAUCCCCCCCUCUCUCCCUCCCUCCCUUUCUCUUCCUUCUACAUAAAAAGUCACCAUUUUGCUUCAUUGCUUUUCCUGGGCUUUAAUUAAUUAUUUUGUAUGCCUUCCCACCACCCCACGGACACCCCAAAGAGGAGGAGGCAGCUUUCUUUUUAUUUACAUGUCUCCCUCUCUCUCCCCCCCCACCCAUUUUGCAUGCACAAAUUUUGCUGCAUCCCUCCCUGGCACCCUCCAAUGUUGCUCCAGCGUGUGCCCCACCCACAGCAUGCCCUGGUACACGCCAACUCCUGCUCACACACCCCUCCCUUCCCCAGGCACCAGCAAAUGUGUCCUUUUCGCUCUUCAAAAUACAGCAACCCUAAAGUAGUGGUGAUUAUGAGUAUUGCCUUGCAACAAUGCGUGCCUAAUCAAGUCAAAAGGAUUCUAUCCAUUCUCUAUAGGUGUCUUCCUGUAAAAGAAAAAGAAAAAGGGGGCUUCCACCUUUUCCUGGUUCUGCCCAGUGCCUUUAAUGGCAGCGUGGCUGAGGCUGGUGGGACCAGGAGUCUAACAACAUCUGGAAUGCCUAGGUUCUGUAUUUGUGUCCAAUUGCACCAGCUGUGUGUGUCUUUGUGUGGGAGACCUAAGUGAUUUUGUAUGUGUUAUAGAAUGGUCAAGGGUAAAAUAAAUAUUACAUAUAGAUCAAGCAACAGUGUUAUAUAUGUAAGUCAAUUUUCCUUCAUUAUACUUUGGUAUUUAUCAGCUUCUGAUUAACUUCCUUCACCCAUAUUUGCACUCGAAAGGGGAUGAUCCUGUUAGUUGUAGACACUUGUUUAAAUUUCUCUUUUUGAAAGCCACACAUUUGUUAAAAUUUAUAUAUUUUAAAUUGUAUAUAUAAUUAGAAAAGGGGGCUGUUGCAGUCAUAAAUGGGGGUUCUUUCAUUAUCUUUGAAAAUAUUAUUUCGUACCUUUUGCAAGCUGCUCUAUUGACAAAUUCAGUUACUAUCUAAAACUUUAGCUCUUAAAAAGUUGCUUACUUUGAGGGAUUCUGUUGAUGAUGACACAAGGUUUGAUAGAAUGAUGGCAGGCUUAAGACAGAUGGUGACUUCAUAAUAAGCAGUUCUAGACUUUUGAGUUUUGGAAGGGUGAACUGCUGUUUAUUUCACAAUGAUAUUUCCAGUUUUCAUUGUAUCUUGUGCAGCUAAUAAUUGCAUCAUUCACACCUAACAUAGCCAUAUAUUGACUUCACAAACAGUAUUUAUUUUAUUUGCCAAAAAAAUCUUGAAAACAGCAAAUAGUGCACUGGAAGCGGACUUAGGCUGCAGUCCCCACUAUGUCUACUCAAAAGUAAGUCCUAAUGAUUCCAGUGCUAUACAGACUGUGAUCAGGAAAAGAAAUCCAGACCACAAAAGGGAAAGGUAUAAAUCAGUUUUAUUGAUUACAAGGGCAGUGCAAUUGUCCACAAGGAUAGCAGACAAUUCAAAACAAACACCCACAUGGCUUUAAUCACCACAGGGGACGUAAUUAUUGAUCACAGGUAGUUUACACAGGUAGCAACAUAACUUUACAAUUUCAGUAAGGGAAGGUGGCCAGUUUUCCAGUCUUCAAGUGGAAGCAAGUCCACCUUUUCUAGUCUCUCCAAUGCAAGUUUCACCAAUGGAAAAAAGGAGACUGUCCUGCUGUCUGUUGUCCAGGGAGGUCUUCUUCAAAGCCUUAUCUUCAUUUGACACAACUGGAACUAAUGUCACAUUGUUCUCACUUACUUACAUUUUGCUUUCCCCUUUAUCCUUAUGCAAGAAUUUUUCCACCUCCUGUGCUUGCAAAAAUUGAUAAAUGACCUCAUGGUACUCUUUCAUUAUUUCCUUGACUACAUACUACAGUGGUACCUCGGGUUACAUACACUUCAGGUUACAGAAGCUUCAGGUUACAGACUCCGCUAACCCAUAAAUAGUACCUCGGGUUAAGAACUUUGCUUCAGGAUGAGAACUGAAAUCGUGCUCCAGCGGUGCGGUGCCAGCUGGAGGCCCCAUUAGCUAAAGUGGUGCUUCAGGUUAAGAACAGUUUCAGGUUAAGAAUGGAACUCCGGAACGAAUUAAGUACUUAACCCGAGGUACCACUGUAUAGGGACGCGGGUGGUGCUGUGGUCUAAACCACUGAGCCUAGGGCUUGCCGAUCAGAAGGCCGGCGGUUCAAAUCCCCGCAACAGGGUGAGCUCCCGUUGCUCAGUCCCUGCUCCUGCCAACCUAGCAGUUCGAAAGCACAUCAAAGUGCAAGUAGAUAAAUAGGUACUGCUCCGGCGGGAAGGUAAAUGGUGUUUCUGUGUGCUGCUCUGGUUCACCAGAAGUGGCUUAGUCAUGCUGGCUACAGGACCCAGAAGCUGUAUGCCGGCUCCCUCGGCCACAACCCCAGAGUCGGCCACGACUGGACCUAACGGUCAGGGGUCCCUUUACCUUUACCUUACCACUGUAUAGCUGCUACAUGAAUGGUGUGGUACCUGCUUAAAAUGGCCUUAUAAGUUUCUGGGUGAAUGUGGAACAAAGCCAUAAACUUUAACCUAUUUUACUAAUACCACAAGUUGUCCGGCUUGAAUAUACUCGCCAUUGUUCCCUUGACCUUUCCUCCAUAUACAAAGUACUUCCUCUUAGGUUUCUUCCAAAUUCUGUAAAUGCUACAUGACCUUUCUUAGUUUAGUUCGAAGCCUGGCUUGUCAGCAUCCAAUCAAGAUAUGAUCUGCACAUUCUGCCCAUCUCUAUACUGUUGUUAGCUGCAAGCAUAAUAAUAAAUCAUCAUAGAUCCAGAGGGAAAAGCCUUGCUCAGGUUAGACAACCUGGACCAGGCUUUCAAAAUGCCAUUGACAAGUAAUGGCUUUUUUUUUUCCUUUUAGGGGACAGUCUCAGGCCUUGGAGAGAUCCAGCACUUCCGUUGCAGGAUCAAGACUUCUAGUAUCAAGCAGCAGAACAAAAUGUUCCCUGGUUAGUUAUGUAGAAGGCUUCCUUGACUACAAUAGGAGACUUCUUUGAAACCUAAUUAGAAUGGAGGAGAGACAAUUUGGAAGGGUUGCACUGUGUUCUCUCUCUCUCUCUCUCUCUCUCUCUCUCUCUGUGUGUGUGUGUGUGGUUGCCAUGAGUACAAGGUGCCUGCAACAGUUUUUAUUAUUUGCAAAUGUGCCCAUGGCCCUCCCCAGACUGGUGACCUAUGAUAUAGCUUGAUAAACGGGUUGGAGAACUUGAAUGCUUGCGUCCUGUUUUGUGACAUUUCAGUUUUCUGAAUAAAGGUCUUGCUCUAAUGGACUUUGAAACAUAAUAAACAGUGUCAAUACAUCUGAAAGCAACCAUAUAAAACAAGC